UUCAAUGUUGUUCUUAUAUUUUACCUUUGACAGGAGUUGGAAUUAUAUGAUGAAGAAUUAGUCUAUAAACCAGCUAUAUUAGCCGUAAAUAAAUUGGAUACAGACUAUGAUGGAAAUAAAUUUCGUAAACUUAAAGAUCAGCUUGAAGCCCAUUCUAAGGGGGCAAUAAAACUUCUUGAAGAAAUGAGGCCAAAUUCUGUGAUAAACUUUGAUACAAUUGUACCAAUAUCUGCAAAGCGUGGCACCAAUGUGUCUCUUUUAAAAGACAAAAUUAGGUCAAUAAUUGAUAUUAGUCAUGAAGAGGAAAUGAGAAAAAUGUCCAAAGACUGUAGAGUAGUGAAACAAAAUGUAGAUGUUAUAUAUGCAUAAGUAUAUAAAAUUAUUCUUUUAUUGAGUGUA
Molecule: long non-coding RNA, 399 nt
Organism: Stegodyphus dumicola
Lineage: Eukaryota; Metazoa; Arthropoda; Arachnida; Araneae; Eresidae
Source: RefSeq, a predicted model, not a curated record